GACGAACGCUGGCGGCGUGCUUAACACAUGCAAGUCGAACGGAAAGGCCCUGCCUUUGUGGGGUGCUCGAGUGGCGAACGGGUGAGUAACACGUGAGUAACCUGCCCUUGACUUUGGGAUAACUUCAGGAAACUGGGGCUAAUACCGGAUAGGAGCUCCUGCUGCAUGGUGGGGGUGGGAAAGUUUCGGCGGUUGGGGAUGGACUCGCGGCUUAUCAGCUUGUUGGUGGGGUAGUGGCUUACCAAGGCUUUGACGGGUAGCCGGCCUGAGAGGGUGACCGGCCACAUUGGGACUGAGAUACGGCCCAGACUCCUACGGGAGGCAGCAGUGGGGAAUAUUGCACAAUGGGCGGAAGCCUGAUGCAGCAACGCCGCGUGCGGGAUGACGGCCUUCGGGUUGUAAACCGCUUUCGCCUGCGACGAAGCGUGAGUGACGGUAAUGGGUAAAGAAGCACCGGCUAACUACGUG
RNAcentral lists this ribosomal RNA (468 nucleotides) under uncultured bacterium. RNAcentral describes it as "partial 16S ribosomal RNA". It matches the Rfam family "Bacterial small subunit ribosomal RNA", at positions 28 to 507 of the family's 1533-position model. The record is from RNAcentral.